This 501-nucleotide ribosomal RNA is filed under the name uncultured bacterium. Its description in RNAcentral is "partial 16S ribosomal RNA". It matches the Rfam family "Bacterial small subunit ribosomal RNA", at positions 30 to 523 of the family's 1533-position model. The record is from RNAcentral.
AUUGAACGCUGGCGGCAGGCUUAACACAUGCAAGUCGAGCGGGGGAAGGUAGCUUGCUACCGGACCUAGCGGCGGACGGGUGAGUAAUGCUUAGGAAUCUGCCUAUUAGUGGGGGACAACAUCUCGAAAGGGAUGCUAAUACCGCAUACGUCCUACGGGAGAAAGCAGGGGAUCUUCGGACCUUGCGCUAAUAGACGAGCCUAAGUCGGAGUAGCUAGUUGGUGGGGUAAAGGCCUACCAAGGCGACGAUCUGUAGCGGGUCUGAGAGGAUGAUCCGCCACACUGGGACUGAGACACGGCCCAGACUCCUACGGGAGGCAGCAGUGGGGAAUAUUGGACAAUGGGGGGAACCCUGAUCCAGCCAUGCCGCGUGUGUGAAGAAGGCCUUAUGGUUGUAAAGCACUUUAAGCGAGGAGGAGGCUACUCUAGUUAAUACCUAGGGAUAGUGGACGUUACUCGCAGAAUAAGCACCGGCUAACUCUGUGCCAGCCGCCGCGGUAA